CUACGAGUACAAUUAACGCUAUUAUAUAUUAUGAAUAACUGACUCAUGAUUAAACCCCAGUAAUAAGAAUUCAUGUUUAUUGCUAGUAUGGACAAUUUUCAGUAUGCUAAACAUAAAGACUUAAAAGCCACUUAUAGGGUGUGUACUCAAGGCUUUUGAGCAAAAGAAAAACACUCUACAUAAACUUUAGUGGCGACGAAGUCGCCAGAGAGGAAUGUUUAAACAACAUAAUUAUAAAGGCAAGACGAUGAUGAUCGGCACGCCACCUCGGAUCCCUAAUAUCGUGAAUGAAACAAGACUGCAUCACUUUGAUGAUUUCCCUUGCUCUUGAACGUUGUUGUUGGCAGAAUUCAGCAUGGGAAUGUUUAAGGCACGACAACUAUGGGUGUCGCACCAACCUGCGUAUAUAAUACGAUCCAUUUUUUAUACUAUUAUUAGAAUGCUUGCUUAUGAAUUGCAUGAUUUAUUAUGAACUGAUGUUUAUUAAUUUGAGGACCAAAAAUUGAAAAUAUAAAAUUAAGCUAAGGUUUAUGAGUUAAGAUCGAAAACCCAUGAUCAAAUGAGUUAAGACCGAAUUAAGAUCGAUAAGCUAAUGGGUUAAGACCAAAUUAAGAUCGAGAACCUAAGAUUGGACGGGUUAAGACUGAAUUAAGAUCGACAACCCAAUGGGUUAAGACCGAGUUAAGAUCGAGAACCCAAGAUCGAAUGGGUUAAGACCGAGUUAAGAUCGAGAACCCAAGAUCGAAUGGAUUAAGACCGAAUUAAGAUCGAGAACCCAAGAUCGAAUGGGUUAAGAUCGAGAACCCAAUAUUGAAUGGGUUAAGAUCUAAUUAAGAUCGAAAGAGCCCAAGAUCGAAUGGGUUAAGACCAAACUAAGAUCGAGAAACCAAGAUCAAAUGGGUUAAGACUGAAUUUAAAUCAAAAUCCAAGAACGAAGGUUAAAUUAUGAUCAUGAGAUUGUAACCGAAGGCUAAAUUAUGACCAAGUGAUCGUGUCCGAAGGAUAAUGUAUGACUUUGUGAUCACAACCAAAGGCUAAACUAUGAUUGUAGCCAAAGGCUAAACUUGUAAUGAAAUUUCAAGUCACAUGAUUUUUUGCAAAAAAAAUAUUUUUCCUCUACAAAGUAAGAUGAUAUACAUUUGCAGAGGAAAAGGAGGGCAUUUGUGGGUGCAAAAAAUAAGGCUUAAGCAAGCAGCCACUUCCUAAAUUUGGGGUAAAGGGGCAUGAUCAUGGAAGAUGGAACAUGGAGAAAUAUAAGGAAAGUGGGACUUGGAGCCUAAGUAUUUUAUGCCUAUAAAUGAACUAGAAUCUGACGAAAAGUGGAGGUAGAGAGGUAUAAGAUGAUUCUAUAUUUUACAAGCAUCUUGAAUAAAGACUGACUUGAGUGUCGGAAUGUUUUCUUGCAGGUCUCCACCUCCCUCAUGGAUGGAGAGCGAAGAUGGUAUUGUGGGCUUCUCAACAUGGUUACAAGAUUUACUUGUUGAAGGAUUAGAGGAACCAAAAUUUUCCGCUCCAACAGAUGCAAAUCGUCUUUUAAAUAAAAAGUUAAAAACUGACAGCAAGCCUUGCAAGGCCUAGGACACCAUGAACAAAAUACACCAUGGCAACAGCCACAUUGUCAGGGCACAAUUCGAGCCCGAAAAUUUUCACACUGCUCCUUCUAUGCUUGGUCAUGCUUGGAGAAGGCAUGCUUGCCUCCCUUACCCUAUCAGUUAUCAACACAUACCUUUAUAUGCACCUUAUCGUAUUGAACCAAAACUAAGUAAAGCUUUAAUCUUUAUCACAUUUAGCCAAAACCCAAUUGUAAAAAACAUACUUAGAUAUUCAUAAUUACACUUUAAUUGCAGAAUUAAAUUUCAAUAUAUUUACAAAGAAAUUGAGCGACAUACUAAUCCUGGAAUUGAGGAAUGGCUCGUCAUCCAAAUCGAGCCGGCGAGUGGGCGAGGCCAUGGGGACGGUGACCGACAUGUCGUUCUCCGGAGGAAGCUUUCAGGCAGGCUCUGCGUCAGUGACGAUUUCUUAUGUGGGCGCCGAACAGAAGACUGUUGCGAUUUCGAAGAAGAAAGGGGCGGGGUUUUGGAGAGAGAAAUGAGUAGUUUAGAGAUUUCGGAGAAACUGUCGAAGGAAGCAAAUGGGUGAGAAUGGGUGGGUUUAGUGGUAUCAGAUCUGGAAUUGGGUACAUGGAUUGGAGAUUUUUUUUUAGAAAACUAAUGAAAAUGAGUUUUCUGAGUUUUAACGAUAAGGACAAAAUAAAAGGUAAAGUGAAUAGUACCAGAUUUGACUUUUUAGUGUAAAAAUGUGAUUUUUCGUUAGAGUGAACAGUAUCGCGGGCUUUUCAUUAA
Molecule: long non-coding RNA, 2342 nt
Filed under: Malus domestica (apple)
Lineage: Eukaryota; Viridiplantae; Streptophyta; Magnoliopsida; Rosales; Rosaceae
Description: long non-coding RNA (MDOM_LNC009728)
Source: RNAcentral